This is a non-coding RNA of Myotis davidii, 76 nucleotides long. The record is from Rfam. Lineage: Eukaryota; Metazoa; Chordata; Mammalia; Chiroptera; Vespertilionidae.
GAAACACCUUUAUGGGGCAAGACUUGCUUCAGUGGGGCUUUGGUGCUCACUGAAUCUGCCCUCUGAGUGUGUCCCU